AUGGCUGAGCUCGCGUCUGGCGCCGUGAGCUCGCUGCUGGGCCUCCUCCGGAACGAGGCGCUGCUGCUGAGCCGCGUCGGCAGCGACUCGGAGUUCAUCAAGGAGGAGAUGGAGAGCAUGCACAGCUUCCUGGAACACCUGGCCAGGACCGCACCUCCUGCUGGCAGCGGCGGGCACGACGAGCAGGUGCGCACGUGGAUGAAGCAGGUCCGUGACCUGGCCCAUGAUUGCAGCAACUGCAUCGACCUCUACCUCCGGCGCGGUGACCCCGCAGUCUACCGUGCCAGGGCCGGCCGCUGGCGCUACCUCUGGUGGGCUUCCUGGUUGGUGCAGAGGAUGGUCACCCAGCACAAUGCGGCCAUCCGGCUGCGCGAGCUGAAGGAGCGGGCGCGUGACGUCGGCAAGCGGCGGUUGCGGUACGGUGUGGAGAUCCCGCGGAAGGAAGCAGCGCCAACUUUGCCGUCGUCGUCUCAAGCUGCCGCUACACAAGACAAGGAGGAAGAGGAGGAUGAUGACGACGAUCAGAAUCAAGCGACCGACGGUUCUUAUACCCGUCAAAGAGCUCUAGAACCUCGCCUUCUUGAAGAGUACUGCACCGAGAAGCUAGCCAACUGGCUGGAAACCAACGAGGGUGAAUCCAUAACAUCAAUUGCCCUUGUUGUGCCGGAUGAUAUGCAGGACGCUGGUGCCAUUGCACGCGACUCUUUGACUUCGCCAACCGCCAACUUCAUGUGCAAGGUCGUCAAUCUCUCGGCAUUGCACCUCCCAUGGGAUCUUCCGCUGUUACCCAGUGAGAUCCUCUGCUACAUCUUGCGUGAAUGUAAGCAGCAUCAAGGCACGGAACAAGGCGAGCUGAACGUGCCAGAGGGAGAUCUUCGGGAGAAAGUUUGCCGUUACAAAAAUGAACUCCUGGAUGAAGUAUGGGACAUGAUUGGUUAUAGAGAAGUCGAUGAAAAGAUUGAAGAAAUCAGGAACAUGGUUGGAGAAGUUGAAGCGGGGAAGAUUGGAGGAGUUGAUAGAAAGAAGGUUGAAGAAAAUAUUUGCUUAGUCAUACUCCUCCAUGCCCUGCGGCUCAGGCAGAAGGCGCCUGACAUGGGUAUGCCACUAUCCUCCAAUCAGGCUAUAGAGGAAACUGCUUCCAGGCUGAAAGCUCAUAUGGAGACAGGCGAGUCCAAGCCCCAGAUUUGUCUCGAUGAUGCCCAGUACAAAGAUAUCCUGCACAACCUGUUCCUGACAAACAAGCCCCCACAGUCCCAGCAGGUCCAGGAAGCCACCAGCAGCGCUACUACAAUGAGCGUGGAUCACACCAAAGAAAUCAUCCACAACCACAAGAUUACUCUAGACAUCAUAUUGGGGCUGCUUCCCAAGCAACAGCUACCAGAAGGCACCUCUACUAAGGAACAAGUCACUGAUGCUGCUGCUUCUGUGAUCAAACAAAAGGAGAACUCCAAGGAGAUUGCAGGGGAGGUGACCAAUGCUGCUGCUGCUGCUGCCUCUGUUAUCAAAGAAACCAAGGAGAAAACGAAGGAGGUAUCAGAGGAGGUGAUCAGUGCUAUUGCUUCUGCUGUUAUCAAGGAAACCAAGUUGAAAAUGGAGACAUCAGGGGAGCUGGCCAGGGAUAUUGCUUCUGCCCUUGUCAAAGAAACCAAGGAGACUCAAGGAGCUAUCCACGGAGGUGACUAG
This 1683-nucleotide ribosomal RNA is filed under the name Triticum aestivum (bread wheat). Its description in RNAcentral is "partial small subunit ribosomal RNA". Lineage: Eukaryota; Viridiplantae; Streptophyta; Magnoliopsida; Poales; Poaceae. The record is from RNAcentral.